Antechinus flavipes (yellow-footed antechinus) is the source of this 1641-nucleotide long non-coding RNA. RefSeq lists it as uncharacterized. The record is from RefSeq and is a predicted model, not a curated record. NCBI's taxonomy places the organism in Eukaryota, Metazoa, Chordata, Mammalia, Dasyuromorphia, Dasyuridae. The transcript has 4 exons.
AGGAGGUAUCUGUACAAUUGUAUUAAUCAAUUAUCUAUCCAGGCUAUAGGUCAGAAUCUUGGAAUAAAAGGACAAGGUUUCAAAUCCUCUCUCUAUCACUUAGAACGUCUGUAAUCUUGGCAAAGUAGCAUUGCUUCUCUGGGUUUCAGUUCCCACAUGUGUAGAUUGAGGGAAGUUGAACUUGAUGGUCUCUGAAGUCUCCAAAUUUAAAUCUAUAAUGAAUCUGCCCAAACCUCUAUUUCUGUAAGGAAAGAAAGGUCAAAGUUCAUUUUGGAAAGUAGAAAAUCUGUCAUUAUCUAGUAGAGAUUUGGUUUUGUUGGACAGGGCUUUGUAAGGAAUAAGAUGGAUUUUUACCCUGGGUAUCUACACUGACUUCCUAUUUUUCUUCUUAUUUCCCCCCUUCCCCACAGGUAUCACUAGUACCACGAGUUGGAUCAGAGAAACAGAAGAUAGCAAAAAAGUCACAUUUUCAGGAUUCUUGAUGACUUGAUACAUCUCUCUAUCACUCCUCAACAAAUGCUUUGUACUCCCAGAACCUUUCAUCUGAGCUCCACACCACUCACAAAAAGGAUUCCCGGAGCUGCUGGGAUAGAUAACAACUGGCAGGGCUUACAAAAAUAGCUCCGAUAAGGCCACGUACAUGCAGAAAUUAUGACUCUUUAAUAUAACAGCCAUGCUCUACUCAAGUCUAUUCAAAACACCAGAGAAAAAGUCAUGUGGACCAGCAAAGGGAGGAAAGAUAAAAUUGGUCGAAGAAAAAGGUACCUUGAGAUUCUUCAGAUGGAAUUGCUAACAAUGGCAAGGCAAAAGCCAACAGGAUGAAUGGAGUCCCCAAACGCAGAACCUGGCACAUCCUACUAAUGCAAAUAAAACCAUGGCUUCGGGGCAAGCUUUGCUCUGCUUUCUGGACAAGAAGGAAAAUCAGGUAGUAUUUGGAAAAUGUACAGCAAUGAAGGCUGUAUCUUUUGGGGCAAAGAGAAGGAGAGAAAACAGGCUUUCAGUCCCUACCAUAAUACCCACAGAGUCCGCACAAGGUGAUCAAGGAAGGGCCAUGGACCUGAUGCUGUUACUUUCCUGGAGUUUCAAGAAAUCUCAAAGCAAGGGCCAAAGAAGAGAAUAACCACGGAUGGUAAUGGAGCUGUCACAGAGAAGAGAGAAGUGGAAAUUCAUGGUUCUCUUGUGAGGCAAAGACAUCUGUGUUAUUGCACCCUAAGCCAAUAGUUUUUAAAACAAAGUCAUAAAACAAGCUACUGUAUAUAACAGGGAUGGAAAAUAUGUGGAGCUUUCCUCCGCCCUUUACAGGUCUCUGAGAAGAAAAAAGAACGAGACCAAUGACUGGGAAGGAAAGACGCAGGAGCUGCCAGCAGGAGGGUGCAUGGCUCCCACCUUCCACAGGAACAGGGACAGCUUGUGCUAAAAAGAAUGGGAUAGACAAACCCAUGUCAGAGGCAAUGGCCAGGCAGCAGGAAGGGCACAGCCUGUUUCUCUAACCUCUGGCUAGAAAACCAGAGUGAUGAGAGGUGGUUCCCCUCCUUUGCCCUUCUAUUGUCCUGACUCCACACUUCAGGUUCCUGUCUGGGGCCCUCUGGAUCCGAAUUCUGCACCAUUGUGGGGUGCUCAAUAAAUGUUUCUUUAUUAUUA